This 397-nucleotide ribosomal RNA is filed under the name Libanasa sp. RCP-2009. Its description in RNAcentral is "partial 12S ribosomal RNA". It matches the Rfam family "Microsporidia small subunit ribosomal RNA", at positions 768 to 1311 of the family's 1311-position model. The record is from RNAcentral. Lineage: Eukaryota; Metazoa; Arthropoda; Insecta; Orthoptera; Anostostomatidae.
UUCUUGAAACUCAAAGAAUUUGGCGGUGUUUUAGUCUAUUCAGAGGAAUCUGUUCCGUAAUCGAUAAUUCACGAAUUAUUAUACUUAAUUUUGUAAAAUCAACUUGUAUACCGCCGUCAUCAGAUUAUUUUUUUAGAAUUAAAUUUUCUUUAAAUUUUAUUAAAUUAUAUGUCAGGUCAAGGUGCAGUUUAUAAUUAAGUGGAAAUGGAUUACAAUAAAAUUAUUUAUUUAUGGAUUUAAAUAUGAAAAGUUUAUUGAAGGUGGAUUUGAUAGUAAUAUUAAAUAAUAAUUUGAUUUUAGCUCUAAAACAUGUACACAUCGCCCGUCGCUCUCGUUAUUAAGGCGAGAUAAGUCGUAACAUAGUAGAUGUACUGGAAAGUGUAUCUAGAAAGUAAAA